Long non-coding RNA from Rhipicephalus sanguineus (brown dog tick), 627 nucleotides. RefSeq lists it as uncharacterized. The transcript has 2 exons. The record is from RefSeq and is a predicted model, not a curated record. NCBI's taxonomy places the organism in Eukaryota, Metazoa, Arthropoda, Arachnida, Ixodida, Ixodidae.
AGUUUGCAUUGACGACGUUCCUCUCAUGCAAGCAUGCAGUCCUAGAGAGGCGUUCAAGAUAUUACUCCUGGCAGACUUUGCGUCAACGUUGCCUACCCAAAAGAGGCAAGUCUUACCCUGGAGUUCACUCAUAGGUCAAUUGCCACUGUCACUCCCGGAAAGGGCACAAAGACUGAGCAUACACGAGGGAAACAGCACAUGAACCCGAAAGUGGCGUCAUUGAUUAGCUUCCUCAAGGAAUUGACUUUCAAACAUCUGUGCCUGCCAACUCGAACAAUAUCGCCGGGAGAUUUCUCAAUCUGGACCCGUUGUGACACUGUGGGCAUAGUGAACGAAGCGGGAAUUGUAAUGCCUUGUUUUUCGUUGUUAGACACAACAUUAAUUACAACAGACAAGAAAGCCAAGGCAAGUACAGGGGAUGUUGUUUGUAGCCAUUACGAAGCAAACGUCAAGAAAGCAAAGUGGACGAAAAGAUAACAUGCCGCUGGCAGGGACCGAACCUGCGACCUUCGAUUAACGCAUAGUGACCGCUUGUGAUAGUGUGGGCAUCUCUCGUAUUUCAAGAUGCACAUGUUGGCAACUGCCUGAACUUCUACGUUUCAUGUCAAUAAACUUGUUUGCAUUUCA